GGCCAGUGCCAGGGGGUCAGGCUCACGGACCAGCCCAAAGGCCAGGCCUGACCCUUGAGCCUGACCCCUAGCACGGAUCCC
Molecule: microRNA precursor, 81 nt
Organism: Cercocebus atys (sooty mangabey)
Lineage: Eukaryota; Metazoa; Chordata; Mammalia; Primates; Cercopithecidae
Source: Ensembl